RNAcentral lists this ribosomal RNA (495 nucleotides) under uncultured bacterium. RNAcentral's name for it is "partial 16S ribosomal RNA". It matches the Rfam family "Bacterial small subunit ribosomal RNA", at positions 28 to 507 of the family's 1533-position model. The record is from RNAcentral.
GACGAACGCUGGCGGCGUGCCUAAUACAUGCAAGUAGAACGCUGAAGGAGGAGCUUGCUUCUCUGGAUGAGUUGCGAACGGGUGAGUAACGCGUAGGUAACCUGCCUUGUAGCGGGGGAUAACUAUUGGAAACGAUAGCUAAUACCGCAUAAGAGUAGAUGUUGCAUGACAUUUGCUUAAAAGGUGCAAUUGCAUCACUACCAGAUGGACCUGCGUUGUAUUAGCUAGUUGGUGAGGUAACGGCUCACCAAGGCGACGAUACAUAGCCGACCUGAGAGGGUGAUCGGCCACACUGGGACUGAGACACGGCCCAGACUCCUACGGGAGGCAGCAGUAGGGAAUCUUCGGCAAUGGACGGAAGUCUGACCGAGCAACGCCGCGUGAGUGAAGAAGGUUUUCGGAUCGUAAAGCUCUGUUGUAAGAGAAGAACGAGUGUGAGAGUGGAAAGUUCACACUGUGACGGUAUCUUACCAGAAAGGGACGGCUAACUACGUG